RNAcentral lists this ribosomal RNA (465 nucleotides) under uncultured bacterium. Its description in RNAcentral is "partial 16S ribosomal RNA". It matches the Rfam family "Bacterial small subunit ribosomal RNA", at positions 28 to 507 of the family's 1533-position model. The record is from RNAcentral.
GACGAACGCUGGCGGCGUGCUUAACACAUGCAAGUCGAACGGAAAGGCCCUGCUUGCAGGGUACUCGAGUGGCGAACGGGUGAGUAACACGUGGGUGAUCUGCCCUGCACUUCGGGAUAAGCCUGGGAAACUGGGUCUAAUACCGGAUAGGAGCCAUUUUUAGUGUGAUGGUUGGAAAGUUUUUUCGGUGUAGGAUGAGCUCGCGGCCUAUCAGCUUGUUGGUGGGGUAAUGGCCUACCAAGGCGGCGACGGGUAGCCGGCCUGAGAGGGUGGACGGCCACAUUGGGACUGAGAGACGGCCCAGACUCCUACGGGAGGCAGAAGUGGGGAAUAUUGCACAAUGGGCGCAAGCCUGAUGCAGCGACGCCGCGUGGGGGAUGACGGCCUUCGGGUUGUAAAAUCCUUUCGCUAGGGACGAAGCUUUUUGUGACGGUACCUAGAUAAGAAGCACCGGCUAACUACGUG